AGCGAACGCUGGCGGCAGGCCUAACACAUGCAAGUCGAACGGAUCCUUCGGGAUUAGUGGCGGACGGGUGAGUAACACGUGGGAACGUGCCCCUUGGUUCGGAACAACUCAGGGAAACUUGAGCUAAUACCGGAUGUGCCCUUCGGGGGAAAGAUUUAUCGCCAUUGGAGCGGCCCGCGUCUGAUUAGCUAGUUAGUGAGGUAACGGCCCACCAAGGCGACGAUCAGUAGCUGGUCUGAGAGGAUGAUCAGCCACACUGGGACUGAGACACGGCCCAGACUCCUACGGGAGGCAGCAGUGGGGAAUCUUGCGCAAUGGGCGAAAGCCUGACGCAGCCAUGCCGCGUGAAUGAUGAAGGUCUUAGGAUUGUAAAAUUCUUUCAGCGGGGACGAUAAUGACGGUACCCGCAGAAGAAGCUCCGGCUAACUUCGUG
This 433-nucleotide ribosomal RNA is filed under the name uncultured bacterium. RNAcentral's name for it is "partial 16S ribosomal RNA". It matches the Rfam family "Bacterial small subunit ribosomal RNA", at positions 29 to 507 of the family's 1533-position model. The record is from RNAcentral.